RNAcentral lists this ribosomal RNA (253 nucleotides) under uncultured bacterium. RNAcentral's name for it is "partial 16S ribosomal RNA". It matches the Rfam family "Bacterial small subunit ribosomal RNA", at positions 524 to 776 of the family's 1533-position model. The record is from RNAcentral.
UACGUAGGGGGCAAGCGUUAUCCGGAUUUACUGGGUGUAAAGGGAGCGUAGACGGCGAGACAAGUCUGAAGUGAAAUGCCAGUGCUCAACACUGGAACUGCUUUGGAAACUGCCUGGCUGGAGUGCGGGAGAGGUAAGUGGAAUUCCUAGUGUAGCGGUGAAAUGCGUAGAUACUAGGAGGAACACCAGUGGCGAAGGCGGCUUACUGGACCGUAACUGACGUUGAGGCUCGAAGGCGUGGGGAGCAAACAGG